RNAcentral lists this ribosomal RNA (499 nucleotides) under uncultured bacterium. RNAcentral describes it as "partial 16S ribosomal RNA". It matches the Rfam family "Bacterial small subunit ribosomal RNA", at positions 28 to 507 of the family's 1533-position model. The record is from RNAcentral.
GACGAACGCUGGCGGCGUGCUUAACACAUGCAAGUCGAACGGGCCCGCUCUCUUUUUUGGGGGUGGGUUGAGUGGCGAACGGGUGAGUAUCACGUGAGUAACCUGCCCCCUGCUCCUGGAUAACUGCUUGAAAGGGCGGCUAAUACGGGGUGUGCCGGCUGGUCCGCAUGGGCCUGGUCGGGAUAGUUUCAUCUUCGGGUGUUUCGGUGGGGGAUGGGCUCGCGGCCUAUCAGCUUGUUGGUGGGGUGAUGGCCCACCAAGGCGGUGACGGGUAGCCGGCCUGAGAGGGUGGGCGGCCACACUGGGACUGAGACACGGCCCAGACUCCUGCGGGCGGCAGCAGUGGGGGGUAUUGCACAAUGGGCGGAAGCCUGAUGCAGCGACGUCGCGUGAGGGAUGGAGGCCUUCGGGUUGUGAACCUCUUUCUCCGGUGGUGAAGGCCCUGUCCGUUGCGGCGGGGUUGACGGUAGCCGGGUAUGAAGCGCCGGCUAACUACGUG